UACAUACUCCCUCCUCCCAAAAUUCUUGUCUUAGNUUUGUUUAGAUAUGAAUGUAUCUAGUAAAGUUUUAGUAUUUUGAUACAUCCAUUUCUAGACAAAGCUAAGAUAAGAAUUUCGGGACAGAAGGAGUAUUAU
Hordeum vulgare subsp. vulgare (domesticated barley) is the source of this 135-nucleotide non-coding RNA. Lineage: Eukaryota; Viridiplantae; Streptophyta; Magnoliopsida; Poales; Poaceae. The record is from Rfam.